CAAGUCAGCGGGGAUCGCAUCAGUUGAACCGCUGAAACUGCGCGGAUAUCAACGUCUCGUGCGAGAAUUCCGCGCUAUGACCCACGUUUCUGUGCGCUCGCUCAUCUGUUCAGAUGAUGUCCUGUGAGGACAGCGAUUGGCUCUUGUCUCAGACCUUCCCCGAGGUAAUUGGACGAGUGACGAGCACUCUGCACGUGACCUCUACAGUAAGCUUCCUACCGCUCCGGUUAAUGACGUAGACUGUGGAUCCUUAUGAAGCCUCGUAACUGAGCGACUCUUUACAAUGACGAUGUAAGAUCUGGGUAUUGAAACUUAAAGCCAGACUCAAGAGUUUUCUUAGGUACCACUUUCUGGCCUUGUGUGAGGAUGACAGCUCUUUCAGAACCAAGGAAGACAUCCAAGAAAAAGCCAGGCACAGGGAAGAUACUCCUCUUUGGGCUCCAAAGCAUGGGCGAUGAUGCCAGCAAGGUCUGACAGAUGGAUCCAAGGGAAGGGCUGUCGUCCUGAGCCAAGCGUCCCACCCAGGCCAAGCCAGAAGGGAAUCAACAUCUGUUUCAU
Molecule: long non-coding RNA, 558 nt
Organism: Carassius auratus (goldfish)
Lineage: Eukaryota; Metazoa; Chordata; Actinopteri; Cypriniformes; Cyprinidae
Exons: 3
Source: RefSeq, a predicted model, not a curated record